RNAcentral lists this ribosomal RNA (253 nucleotides) under uncultured bacterium. Its description in RNAcentral is "partial 16S ribosomal RNA". It matches the Rfam family "Bacterial small subunit ribosomal RNA", at positions 524 to 776 of the family's 1533-position model. The record is from RNAcentral.
UACGUAGGGUGCGAGCGUUAAUCGGAAUUACUGGGCGUAAAGCGUGCGCAGGCGGCUUCGCAAGUCGAGUGUGAAAUCCCCGGGCUUAACCUGGGAAUUGCGCUCGAAACUACGGAGCUGGAGUAUGGCAGAGGGAGGUGGAAUUCCACGUGUAGCGGUGAAAUGCGUAGAGAUGUGGAGGAACACCAAUGGCGAAGGCAGCCUCCUGGGCCAAUACUGACACUCAUGCACGAAAGCGUGGGGAGCAAACAGG